GGAGGGGUACCCCUAAUUGGCAAGGGACCGGUUUCGAAAACCGGCGGGAGCAAUCCCUUGUGGGUUCGAGUCCCACCUCCUCCG
This 84-nucleotide transfer RNA is filed under the name Candidatus Yanofskyibacteriota bacterium. RNAcentral describes it as "tRNA-Ser". It matches the Rfam family "tRNA". Rfam says of the family: Transfer RNA (tRNA) molecules are approximately 80 nucleotides in length. The record is from RNAcentral. Lineage: Bacteria; Candidatus Yanofskyibacteriota.